This 82-nucleotide transfer RNA is filed under the name Coemansia erecta. It matches the Rfam family "tRNA". From Rfam's summary of the family: Transfer RNA (tRNA) molecules are approximately 80 nucleotides in length. Their secondary structure includes four short double-helical elements and three loops (D, anti-codon, and T loops). Lineage: Eukaryota; Fungi; Kickxellomycota; Kickxellomycetes; Kickxellales; Kickxellaceae. The record is from Rfam by way of RNAcentral. RNAcentral also lists the same sequence under 6 other names.
GACACUUUGGCGGAGUGGUUAACGCGGUGCCCUGCUAAGGCAUUGUCCUAUGGACGCGCAGGUUCGAAUCCUGCAGGUGUCG